UGUUGGAUGAAUAAACAGCUAAGUGAGUGC
This 30-nucleotide non-coding RNA is filed under the name Homo sapiens (human). Lineage: Eukaryota; Metazoa; Chordata; Mammalia; Primates; Hominidae. The record is from RNAcentral.